This is a long non-coding RNA of Erinaceus europaeus (western European hedgehog), 491 nucleotides long. RefSeq lists it as uncharacterized. NCBI's taxonomy places the organism in Eukaryota, Metazoa, Chordata, Mammalia, Eulipotyphla, Erinaceidae. The record is from RefSeq and is a predicted model, not a curated record. The transcript is spliced from 3 exons.
CUCACGCACGCACUCACGCAGAGCCCGUUAUCCUGCGCGCUCCGCGUUGUUCCUGGGGAGCUCAGCUGGUCGCGUGCUCCCAUUAGCGCGAUCGUCGGGUGUGGCGAGGCGAACAGGUCAGCCGGGUGACGGCUACGGCGACUGGCGAGCGCGUCCAAGACGGCGCAUAGUGGCACAUAAGUCAUGCUGAAUUACAGUUCCCGGGAAGCCCAGGAUCUGGGGAAGCAUGAGCAGGGGCUGAGCAUGACCUUGUCAAUGAAGAAGACGAGCAAGUGGGGAGACAAGGCCGAAGUGGAUGGCGCGCCAUGGAAGAGGAUCCCCAGGCCAGAGCUUGGUGCAGGAGAUACAAAGACUUGGAAGUUGGAACCAAGGAAUAAUGUGGGAAAUAUGACAAAGUUGGAGAAUGUAUAAUGUUUGAAGUAAGAGGGUUAUCUUUUGUUUGUAAACCAAGUUGUAACUGACAAAUUACAGAUCAUUUCCUAUCGUGGCGA